UCGGCUUUGCUCGGGACUUCCCUGUGCUCCUCACCUCCUCGCGAUCCUCCUGGAGGGAGCCGGGGACACAAGCCUUAAGAGUAGCGAGCGCCAGGACGCGGACGCCAGAAGCCCUCCCUCCCACACGGCGCAUGGCAUCGCCUGGCUCCUCGCGGGCUCUGUCCAGCACCAGCUGCACGUGCUGUGGGGCCUUGACGCCCGCUGAUGGUGGAGUUUGAUUCCCUUGAACUGGCUGGACUUAGUGACUAAGGAUGAAAAGAAGAAAAGGACUCUGAGGAGGGAAGGAGCCCUUAUCUGAAGAAACAGGGUGUCACAAAGAGAACACCUACGACAAGGACAUUGAAGGCGGAGAGCCCUGGGAGCCUGAAGAGGGGCAAGAAUGUGGCCAGAGCUGCACCUGCAGGGGUUCGAGUGAGAGGAGAGGAGCCAGAGAGAGAGAUGGAGACGCUGUGCUGCCUUGGACUACACAGGAGGUUGGAAUACACUUCCUGCGUGCUCUAGACUGUACCCAGGGACUGGCUGAUCUCGUGCAGUAGCAUACACAGACCUGAAAAUGAUUAUCAUGAAGGAAGUUUAUUCCUACAGAUCCAUAGGCUCAGGACGCAGGGCACAUGAUUCAGGGUCUCCUGGAGACCAGGAUGGGUCAGGAGGCAGAAGUGGAGGACAAAAUGUGGUUCCGAGCUUUUGUAUUUUGCACAAAGGAAAGGCAAGGCAGGGCAGGGGAGACAGCUUAGGAUUGGCUAGUUUGAAUACUAUUAGCAGGCUUUAGAGCAGGAGGGCUGUCCUGAUUUGUCUGGUCCCAGGAUCUGGGAUGAUCCGCACAGAAUACAGUUUCCUGAAGUGAAAGAGCCAG
Prionailurus viverrinus (fishing cat) is the source of this 853-nucleotide long non-coding RNA. RefSeq lists it as uncharacterized. The record is from RefSeq and is a predicted model, not a curated record. The transcript has 3 exons. Lineage: Eukaryota; Metazoa; Chordata; Mammalia; Carnivora; Felidae.